Molecule: non-coding RNA, 106 nt
Organism: Gossypium raimondii (Peruvian cotton)
Lineage: Eukaryota; Viridiplantae; Streptophyta; Magnoliopsida; Malvales; Malvaceae
Source: Rfam
GAUAGUCAUCUGGUCCUUUGCAUAUUGUCUCCGGAUACUAAAUCAGAAGUUAAUGCUUGUGCACCCUUUUCACUUGGUGUGCAAGUUUGGCUCUUCUAUUACAUCU